GACGAACGCUGGCGGCGUGCCUAAUACAUGCAAGUAGAACGCUGAAGAGAGGAGCUUGCUCUUCUUGGAUGAGUUGCGAACGGGUGAGUAACGCGUAGGUAACCUGCCUUGUAGCGGGGGAUAACUAUUGGAAACGAUAGCUAAUACCGCAUAACAAUGGAUGACACAUGUCAUUUAUUUGAAAGGGGCAAUUGCUCCACUACAAGAUGGACCUGCGUUGUAUUAGCUAGUAGGUGAGGUAAUGGCUCACCUAGGCGACGAUACAUAGCCGACCUGAGAGGGGGAUCGGCCAAACUGGGACUGAGACACGGCCCAGACUCCUACGGGAGGCAGCAGUAGGGAAUCUUCGGCAAUGGGGGCAACCCUGACCGAGCAACGCCGCGUGAGUGAAGAAGGUUUUCGGAUCGUAAAGCUCUGUUGUAAGUCAAGAACGGGUGUGAGAGUGGAAAGUUCACACUGUGACGGUAGCUUACCAGAAAGGGACGGCUAACUACGUG
Molecule: ribosomal RNA, 497 nt
Filed under: uncultured bacterium
Lineage: Bacteria
Description: partial 16S ribosomal RNA
Rfam family: Bacterial small subunit ribosomal RNA
Source: RNAcentral